Molecule: long non-coding RNA, 1593 nt
Filed under: Homo sapiens (human)
Lineage: Eukaryota; Metazoa; Chordata; Mammalia; Primates; Hominidae
Description: HSALNT0050858
Rfam family: Ghrelin opposite strand RNA conserved region (bases 240-309)
Source: RNAcentral
ACAUGGAAGUCUCCAAGCCUGUGCCAUCCACCUGCCAAGGAAAAGCACAAGGCAGUAGAGCGAGGGAAGCUGCACUGGCUGAGAGGCUGUGGAACCGGAUGAAAAAGCAGCCCCUGAGUCCUGUGGCGUUGGCUCAUACAGUUUGAACAUUUAUUCGCCUCCUGAGCUUGUACAACAGUCGUGGGAGUUGCUGCAGAAGCAAGCGAAAAGCCAGAUGAGCGCUUCUAAACUUAGAGAGAGGGAGAGCGCCUCAUCUCUUCCAUUUUCCAGGUAUUCCUGAGAUGAUUUAUUGGAGCUCAAAGCUUUGGGAGAGUUGGGGCCUUCCAUUCCCUCCAGUAAAUACUUGUUUUUCUUCCACCGCUGAGGCAAAUGCGGGGUGGCUGAUCACCUGGCAGACAUCUUAGGAAACAGGAGCACCGGUCUGGGAAACUGCUGGCCUGGCCUAACACCUGGCGCUGUGGUGCAGGAAAAUCAGUCUGCGCUGAACAGGAUGGAAUUGGGGCAGGACGUCCAGUGAGGAGGACAUUGAGGCAGUAGAGCAGUUGAUUGCCGAAUGACCACCUACCCUGACUUAAAAGAUCAACCUCAGGGAGGAUUGGAGCUUUCUAGAGUCUCUUGGGACAGCAGAAGCACAGGCCGGGUUGGACUGAAUCUUUAAGUGGACAUGAGGGACAAAGUACCUCCUGUUGGUAAACAUCUCACCACCAACCCACUGUGGUGGCUAAAAUCCCACCUUUAGUCCCAGCAACAUAUGAGCAUGUCACCAGGAGGUCUUCACAGGCCUGUCUGCCACCUGAGUGUAGACAUCUUUUGGCCCUGGAGCCCAGAGAGGCUGAAUGUGGAGAGGGUGGAGAGAGGUCUGUAGUCCUCAGAGAAGACUUGCAGCUUUUUCAGAGCCACCAACCCAUAAAAAAAAAAAUCCCCAAACAGAAAAAUCCUAACUGUGGUGACCAGGUACCUCCUGAGACAUGAAGCCUCCACUUACCUGGACCCUGGAGGCCUCUCCGGGCACAGCUGCCAAUGUUGAUCUUAGAUAAGACCACCAGCAAGUAAACAUCCACUGUGCAAAGCUGUGUUAUCUUUGGGGAACUGAAAUGUCCCCUGGGAGUUGGAAACUCCCCUAGCCACAUACCACAGAGUUGAGGAAGGAAGAGCUGAUGGACGGAAGAACCAUGGCGGGAGGAGUCAUCCGGAAGCUACCUCGCUGCCCUGUCAGUUACGGAACAGAGGAGAGAUGCCGGCUGGAGGACACAGCAAAUUUGAACCAAGAGGAGCUUGGAGGAAGCCCGAGCGACCUGGAGGGGACUGGCUGACCUUCCUCAUUCUUUUCAAGUGUGAAUAAUAACCAAGCCCAGUUUGGCAACUCCUUGAGGGUGAGGACGAAGCCCCAUUCUCCUUUUUGGAACUUGGUGGGGCUCAGGAAGCAGGUUCUCUCCAGUCGGUGGCUUUCCUUUCUGUUGCGGGUCUCUUGAGGGCCUGCCUUCAUGAAGGCACAUGAGUGACUCAUCAUUUGUGAAUUAAUUGCUAUAUGUGAAGGGCAUCUGAGAACAAAUUAUCUUCAUAGACUUUUCAUUAUAAUUUUAUUUGUACUGA